This is a non-coding RNA of Gossypium raimondii (Peruvian cotton), 133 nucleotides long. Lineage: Eukaryota; Viridiplantae; Streptophyta; Magnoliopsida; Malvales; Malvaceae. The record is from Rfam.
UAUUAAAAAUUUUAUUCAAUUCUAUUGUUAAAAAUUGACAUGGUUAAUAGAAUAACCAAACAGUUACACAUACAUCUUGUGCUUACAUACAAAAACCAACUUUUAACAAUAGAAAGAGAUAAAAUUUACAAUA